RNAcentral lists this ribosomal RNA (228 nucleotides) under uncultured bacterium. RNAcentral's name for it is "partial 16S ribosomal RNA". It matches the Rfam family "Bacterial small subunit ribosomal RNA", at positions 103 to 334 of the family's 1533-position model. The record is from RNAcentral.
CGGGUGAGUAAUACAUCGGAACGUGCCCGAUCGUGGGGGAUAACGAGGCGAAAGCUUUGCUAAUACCGCAUACGAUCUACGGAUGAAAGCGGGGGAUCUUCGGACCUCGCGCGGACGGAGCGGCCGAUGGCAGAUUAGGUAGUUGGUGGGAUAAAAGCUUACCAAGCCGACGAUCUGUAGCUGGUCUGAGAGGAUGAUCAGCCACACUGGGACUGAGACACGGCCCAG